GCUGAACAUUAUCUGGGUUUGAUCUUUUGCUGCAAGCAGGCUGAUGUUGCCAUCGGAAGAUUGUGUGAAAACUGACGGCAAGUGUGUGAUUUGUGACCGCUGUGUCUGUCCCUUCACCCUGGUAUGCUUAUAUGAUGAGUGUAACUAUGGCUUUUACCAGGGACACUGUGAGAUCUGUGGAGGCCAUGGGAGUCUCUGAUGCCUAUUAUUGUAAGGAGUGCACCAGCCAGGAGAAGAAUAGAGAUGGCUGCCCAAAGAUUGUCAGCUUAGGGAGCUCUGAGACAGGCCUCUUCCAUGAACGUCAAAAAUGUGGCAUCAGAAA
RNAcentral lists this long non-coding RNA (322 nucleotides) under Homo sapiens (human). RNAcentral's name for it is "non-protein coding lnc-TFDP2-11:2". The record is from RNAcentral. Lineage: Eukaryota; Metazoa; Chordata; Mammalia; Primates; Hominidae.